Molecule: long non-coding RNA, 216 nt
Filed under: Brassica rapa (field mustard)
Lineage: Eukaryota; Viridiplantae; Streptophyta; Magnoliopsida; Brassicales; Brassicaceae
Description: long non-coding RNA (BRAP_LNC006545)
Source: RNAcentral
AAAAAGACUAACGGCUUGAUGAAGUCUUGAAACAAAGACUAUGAACCACAAGGCGUAAAAAACUAUGUCUGCUUGAUAAAUACAAGUCUUAGAAAGUAUACAAAGACUAUGAGUUGGAUGGGUAAUAAUGACUAACUCUUGAGACAAAAUCAGUCUUAACAUAAAGACUAAAUCGAAAACAGUUUCUGCUUGGUAAAAAGUCUAGACAAGGACUAU